RNAcentral lists this ribosomal RNA (920 nucleotides) under uncultured bacterium. Its description in RNAcentral is "bacterial SSU rRNA". It matches the Rfam family "Bacterial small subunit ribosomal RNA", at positions 52 to 964 of the family's 1533-position model. The record is from RNAcentral.
CACAUGCAAGUCGAGGGGAACGACAUCGAAAGCUUGCUUUUGAUGGGCGUCGACCGGCGCACGGGUGAGUAACGCGUAUCCAACCUGCCCAUCACUUGGGAUAACCUUGCGAAAGUAAGACUAAUACCCAAUGAUAUCUCUAGAAGGCAUCUGAAAGAGAUUAAAGAUUUAUCGGUGAUGGAUGGGGAUGCGUCUGAUUAGCUUGUUGGCGGGGUAACGGCCCACCAAAGCAACGAUCAGUAGGGGUUCUGAGAGGAAGGUCCCCCACAUUGGAACUGAGACACGGUCCAAACUCCUACGGGAGGCAGCAGUGAGGAAUAUUGGUCAAUGGACGAGAGUCUGAACCAGCCAAGUAGCGUGCAGGAUGACGGCCCUAUGGGUUGUAAACUGCUUUUAUAAGGGAAUAAAGUGAGUCUCGUGAGACUUUUUGCAUGUACCUUAUGAAUAAGGACCGGCUAAUUCCGUGCCAGCAGCCGCGGUAAUACGGAAGGUCCGGGCGUUAUCCGGAUUUAUUGGGUUUAAAGGGAGCGUAGGCCGGAGAUUAAGCGUGUUGUGAAAUGUAGAUGCUCAACAUCUGCACUGCAGCGCGAACUGGUUUCCUUGAGUACGCACAAAGUGGGCGGAAUUCGUGGUGUAGCGGUGAAAUGCUUAGAUAUCACGAAGAACUCCGAUUGCGAAGGCAGCUCACUGGAGCGCAACUGACGCUGAAGCUCGAAAGUGCGGGUAUCGAACAGGAUUAGAUACCCUGGUAGUCCGCACGGUAAACGAUGGAUGCCCGCUGUUGGUCUGAAUAGGUCAGCGGCCAAGCGAAAGCAUUAAGCAUCCCACCUGGGGAGUACGCCGGCAACGGUGAAACUCAAAGGAAUUGACGGGGGCCCGCACAAGCGGAGGAACAUGUGGUUUAAUUCGAUGAUACGCGA